GUGGGGAAUCUUGCGCAAUGGGCGAAAGCCUGACGCAGCCAUGCCGCGUGAAUGAUGAAGGUCUUAGGAUUGUAAAAUUCUUUCACCGGGGACGAUAAUGACGGUACCCGGAGAAGAAGCCCCGGCUAACUUCGUGCCAGCAGCCGCGGUAAUACGAAGGGGGCUAGCGUUGCUCGGAAUUACUGGGCGUAAAGGGCGCGUAGGCGGACAGUUUAGUCAGAGGUGAAAGCCCAGGGCUCAACCUUGGAAUUGCCUUUGAUACUGGGUGUCUUGAGUACGGGAGAGGUGAGUGGAACUCCGAGUGUAGAGGUGAAAUUCGUAGAUAUUCGGAAGAACACCAGUGGCGAAGGCGACUCACUGGCCCGUUACUGACGCUGAGGCGCGAAAGCGUGGGGAGCAAACAGGAUUAGAUACCCCUGUAGUCC
This 425-nucleotide ribosomal RNA is filed under the name uncultured bacterium. RNAcentral describes it as "partial 16S ribosomal RNA". It matches the Rfam family "Bacterial small subunit ribosomal RNA", at positions 354 to 796 of the family's 1533-position model. The record is from RNAcentral.